Molecule: long non-coding RNA, 1133 nt
Filed under: Fukomys damarensis (Damara mole-rat)
Lineage: Eukaryota; Metazoa; Chordata; Mammalia; Rodentia; Bathyergidae
Description: lncRNA (ENSFDAG00000033333.1)
Source: RNAcentral
GCACGCUGUAAAUAACCACCGGUGGCCAGGCCUACCCCCGAGGGCAGCACUGUCUGAUUCCAGGCUGCUGCCGCCACCAAGCAAGGACAUAGGCACAGCUGCCGCACAGACUCUGGAGUGCCCACCUGUUCUGGUCACCACCAGGGCCUCCGCAGAGCCUGGAACGGUGCUCGGCACACAGCAGCAAGAAUCUUCCAUUGAGAUAAUCCAGAGAGAUGAUGAGGGAAACCUACUACAGCCACGUUACUGCCCAGGAGAUCUUGGAUGUCUGACAACUUCUUUCAACCUCCGUUUGCGCACCCAGCAGUGGGGAGAACCACGGCUUCUACUUUCAGAGAGGAUUAGGCAUAUAAAACAGAGGCACAGCAUCUAAAGCACCAGUGGUUGGUGAGGAUAGGCUAGCACAGCCAUCGCACCUAUUUCAGAGAUUUAAAAACUGAGUCCCGUUUGCCCAAGGGAACUGCUACAGUGGACCGAAAAUUUCAGCGCAGUUCUCUGGGGUCCAGUGUUGGUUUCUAAGAGGUACAGCAUACGUGUGUCAAGGUCCCCCUGAGCCCACAUUUCCAGAUCCCAUUUCCACAAGAUACUGGGUACCUUGCCCAAAGCAACCCUGCUACUCCACAACUGUAAUAAGAUUAUCACUGGCUCUCCGCGUCUAUACUCACUGAAUAGGAAGAUGUCAGUAAAGUGCUACGUCUAUAAAAACACACAGAACCCAUUCACAACCAAUGCAGCUGGGCAUGAUGGCACAGGCCUGCAAUCCCAGCACUCAGGGAGGCUGAAGCAGGAAGAUCACAAGUACAAGCCCAGCCUGGGCCAACUGCCAACUUAAGACUGUCUCAAAAUAAAAAACAAAAACGUAAAAAAGGGCUGGUAAUGCAGCUCAGUGCAAGGUGGUGGGUUCCAUACCCAGUAUUUCCCCGCUCCCCAAAACAAAGCUGUCAAUAAAUGCUCUUGAUGGUGCUUUAAAAUUGAAGACAGCCUUGAAGUCAAUGAUAUUUACUCACCAAUCUGGACUACGCUUUUAUGCUUGGCGAAUUGCUAAUGGCUCUGACCCUCUUGCAAAUUAUCCCAGAUUAAUGAGUUUAUUUGACUUAAGCACAACGCAGAAUACAGGAGGAGGCUGCCAUGGC